This 254-nucleotide ribosomal RNA is filed under the name uncultured bacterium. Its description in RNAcentral is "partial 16S ribosomal RNA". It matches the Rfam family "Bacterial small subunit ribosomal RNA", at positions 524 to 776 of the family's 1533-position model. The record is from RNAcentral.
UACAGAGGUCUCAAGCGUUUGUUCGGAUUCAUUGGGCGUAAAGGGUGCGUAGGCGGCGCGGUAAGUCGGGUGUGAAAUCUCGGAGCUUAACUCCGAAACUGCAUUCGAUACUGCCGUGCUUGAGGACUGGAGAGGAGACUGGAAUUUACGGUGUAGCGGUGAAAUGCGUAGAUAUCGUAAGGAAGACCAGUGGCGAAGGCGGGUCUCUGGACAGUUCCUGACGCUGAGGCACGAAGGUCAGGGGAGCAAACAGG